UUUAUGGAGAGUUUGAUCCUGGCUCAGGAUGAACGCUGGCGGCGUGCCUAAUACAUGCAAGUCGAGCGAACGGACGAGAAGCUUGCUUCUCUGAUGUUAGCGGCGGACGGGUGAGUAACACGUGGAUAACCUACCUAUAAGACUGGGAUAACUUCGGGAAACCGGAGCUAAUACCGGAUAAUAUUUUGAACCGCAUGGUUCAAAAGUGAAAGACGGUCUUGCUGUCACUUAUAGAUGGAUCCGCGCUGCAUUAGCUAGUUGGUAAGGUAACGGCUUACCAAGGCAACGAUGCAUAGCCGACCUGAGAGGGUGAUCGGCCACACUGGAACUGAGACACGGUCCAGACUCCUACGGGAGGCAGCAGUAGGGAAUCUUCCGCAAUGGGCGAAAGCCUGACGGAGCAACGCCGCGUGAGUGAUGAAGGUCUUCGGAUCGUAAAACUCUGUUAUUAGGGAAGAACAUAUGUGUAAGUAACUGUGCACAUCUUGACGGUACCUAAUCAGAAAGCCACGGCUAACUACGUGCCAGCAGCCGCGGUAAUACGUAGGUGGCAAGCGUUAUCCGGAAUUAUUGGGCGUAAAGCGCGCGUAGGCGGUUUUUUAAGUCUGAUGUGAAAGCCCACGGCUCAACCGUGGAGGGUCAUUGGAAACUGGAAAACUUGAGUGCAGAAGAGGAAAGUGGAAUUCCAUGUGUAGCGGUGAAAUGCGCAGAGAUAUGGAGGAACACCAGUGGCGAAGGCGACUUUCUGGUCUGUAACUGACGCUGAUGUGCGAAAGCGUGGGGAUCAAACAGGAUUAGAUACCCUGGUAGUCCACGCCGUAAACGAUGAGUGCUAAGUGUUAGGGGGUUUCCGCCCCUUAGUGCUGCAGCUAACGCAUUAAGCACUCCGCCUGGGGAGUACGACCGCAAGGUUGAAACUCAAAGGAAUUGACGGGGACCCGCACAAGCGGUGGAGCAUGUGGUUUAAUUCGAAGCAACGCGAAGAACCUUACCAAAUCUUGACAUCCUUUGACCUUCGGGGGACAAAGUGACAGGUGGUGCAUGGUUGUCGUCAGCUCGUGUCGUGAGAUGUUGGGUUAAGUCCCGCAACGAGCGCAACCCUUAAGCUUAGUUGCCAUCAUUAAGUUGGGCACUCUAAGUUGACUGCCGGUGACAAACCGGAGGAAGGUGGGGAUGACGUCAAAUCAUCAUGCCCCUUAUGAUUUGGGCUACACACGUGCUACAAUGGACAAUACAAAGGGCAGCGAAACCGCGAGGUCAAGCAAAUCCCAUAAAGUUGUUCUCAGUUCGGAUUGUAGUCUGCAACUCGACUACAUGAAGCUGGAAUCGCUAGUAAUCGUAGAUCAGCAUGCUACGGUGAAUACGUUCCCGGGUCUUGUACACACCGCCCGUCACACCACGAGAGUUUGUAACACCCGAAGCCGGUGGAGUAACCUUUUAGGAGCUAGCCGUCGAAGGUGGGACAAAUGAUUGGGGUGAAGUCGUAACAAGGUAGCCGUAUCGGAAGGUGCGGCUGGAUCACCUCCUUU
This 1529-nucleotide ribosomal RNA is filed under the name Staphylococcus aureus. RNAcentral describes it as "16S ribosomal RNA". It matches the Rfam family "Bacterial small subunit ribosomal RNA". The record is from RNAcentral. Lineage: Bacteria; Bacillati; Bacillota; Bacilli; Caryophanales; Staphylococcaceae.